UCAAAGCUAGCCUAUAUACCAAUUUAACUAGACCUUAUAAAUCUAAUCUAUAUUAUAAUUUUUAAUCAAAACAUUCUCAACCUUUUAGUAUGGGUGACAGAACAAUAACCCCAGCGCAAUAGCUUAUGUACCGCAAGGGAAAGCUGAAAAAGAAAUGAAACAAACCAUUAAAGUACUAAAAAGCAGAGAUCAUACCUCGUACCUUUUGCAUCAUGAUUUAGCUAGAAAAACUAGGCAAAAAGACCUUAAGUCUAUCUCCCCGAAACUAAACGAGCUACUCCGAAGCAGCAUUAUAGAGCUAACCCGUCUCUGUGGCAAAAGAGUGGGAAGACUUCCGAGUAGCGGUGAAAAGCCUACCGAGUUUAGUGAUAGCUGGUUACCCAAGAAAAGAACUUUAGUUCUGCAUUAAUUUUUCACUAUCUAGACAAGACUUACUCGUCAAAGAAAUCUAUAAGAAUUAAUAGUUAUUUAGAAGAGGUACAACCCUUCUAAACCAAGACACAACUUUUUAAGGUGGGAAAUGAUCAUAAUUAUUAAGGUUACCAUCUCAGUGGGCCUAAAAGCAGCCACCUGUCAAGUAAGCGUCGCAGCUCUAAUCUAAUAAUCAAACCUUUAAUCCAGAUAUUUACUCACAACCCCCUUUAUCCUAUUGGGUUAUUUUAUAUUUAUAUAAAAGAACUUAUGCUAAAAUGAGUAAUAAAGAGAAUAAAUCUCUCCCGACACAAGUGUACGUCAGAAAGAAUUAAAUCACUGAUAAUUAAACGACCCCAAACUGAGGCCAUUAUAUCACUUAACCAUCAACUAGAAAACCCUAUUCUCCUACUCGUUAUCCCUACACAGGAGUGUCAUCAGGAAAGA
This 858-nucleotide ribosomal RNA is filed under the name Carcharhinus obscurus (dusky shark). RNAcentral's name for it is "partial 16S ribosomal RNA". The stretch from base 186 to 689 matches the Rfam family "Bacterial large subunit ribosomal RNA", at positions 573 to 1301 of the family's 2925-position model. Lineage: Eukaryota; Metazoa; Chordata; Chondrichthyes; Carcharhiniformes; Carcharhinidae. The record is from RNAcentral.